Molecule: ribosomal RNA, 245 nt
Filed under: uncultured bacterium
Lineage: Bacteria
Description: partial 16S ribosomal RNA
Rfam family: Bacterial small subunit ribosomal RNA
Source: RNAcentral
UACGUAGGGGGCGAGCGUUGUCCGGAAUCACUGGGUGUAAAGGGUGCUCAGGCGGAUCGGUAAGUCAGGGGUGAAAUUUCACAGCUUAACUGUGAAUGUGCUUUUGAUACUGCCGGUCUAGAGUUCAGAAGAGGGCAAUGGAAUUCUUGGUGUAGCGGUGAAAUGCGUAGAUAUCAAGAAGAACACCAGUUGCGAAGGCGGUUGCCUGGUCUGUAACUGACGCUCAAGCACGAAAGCGUGGGGAU